UGGGGAAUAUUGCACAAUGGGGGAAACCCUGAUGCAGCAACGCCGCGUGAGUGAUGAAGGUUUUCGGAUCGUAAAGCUCUGUCUUUGGGGAAGAUAAUGACGGUACCCAAGGAGGAAGCCACGGCUAACUACGUGCCAGCAGCCGCGGUAAUACGUAGGUGGCGAGCGUUAUCCGGAAUAACUGGGCGUAAAGGGCACGCAGGCGGACUUUUAAGUGAGGUGUGAAAGCCCCGGGCUUAACCUGGGAAUUGCAUUUCAGACUGGGAGUCUAGAGUGCAGAAGAGGAGAGUGGAAUUCCUAGUGUAGCGGUGAAAUGCGUAGAGAUUAGGAAGAACACCAGUGGCGAAGGCGACUCUCUAGACUGUAACUGACGCUGAGGCUCGAAAGCGUGGGGAGCAAACAGG
This 404-nucleotide ribosomal RNA is filed under the name Clostridiales bacterium. RNAcentral's name for it is "bacterial SSU rRNA". It matches the Rfam family "Bacterial small subunit ribosomal RNA", at positions 355 to 776 of the family's 1533-position model. Lineage: Bacteria; Bacillati; Bacillota; Clostridia; Eubacteriales. The record is from RNAcentral.